UCCUCACAGCCUCUUCUCCCUUUGCUAUGGCUUUCUUCUUCAAUCUCUAGCUCAAAAUGCUUCUUCUUUGGGUGAUAAAUUUUGUUCCUUAGUGUAGCUAUAUUGAAUGCUGCUGCAGCUUCGAGACUGAGAUCUCUGAUACUAAGGUGUAUGAAAAGUUUUUUGGUGCACAAAAAUAGGGUCUAGUCCGCUUAGGCCUGUCAUCAUUUCUGUUCUGGAAGAGGGGUAGAUAAAGAGAUACACGAACCCACUGGUACCUAGAUGAUACCAAGAACCGAAGUUGCAUGUGUUGACAAUCUGACCAUGGACCCUUGAUCUACUGAGAGGCCUUUCUGAUGGUUGGUUACUUAGUCUAAGUAGCAUUUUCUUUUAUUUGUUCUCCAUCUUGUACAGAAGAAUGUGAAAAACUAUACUAACUUGUCCAGUCUGUAGAAUGAUGUGUAACUUCUAGCCUUACAUAAGAUGUCUGAUACUUAUCACUGUUUAGUAUCCUUCUAGUUGUGCUAGGUAGUUGAUGAAAUAUUGUAUAUGUGAAAGUAUUGUGCUCCACUGCCAUGUUAGCUAAAUAGUAUGCUAGUUUAUUACCCUCUCUGUAUGUAUGAACUAUCUGCACUUGCUUGCUUUUA
Molecule: long non-coding RNA, 626 nt
Organism: Capsicum annuum
Lineage: Eukaryota; Viridiplantae; Streptophyta; Magnoliopsida; Solanales; Solanaceae
Exons: 3
Source: RefSeq, a predicted model, not a curated record